This 462-nucleotide ribosomal RNA is filed under the name Vreelandella stevensii. RNAcentral's name for it is "partial 16S ribosomal RNA". It matches the Rfam family "Bacterial small subunit ribosomal RNA", at positions 339 to 794 of the family's 1533-position model. The record is from RNAcentral. Lineage: Bacteria; Pseudomonadati; Pseudomonadota; Gammaproteobacteria; Oceanospirillales; Halomonadaceae.
CCUCGGGCGGCUGCAGUGGGGAAUAUUGGACAAUGGGCGAAAGCCUGAUCCAGCCAUGCCGCGUGUGUGAAGAAGGCCUUCGGGUUGUAAAGCACUUUCAGUGGGGAAGAAAGCCUUGGGGCUAAUACCCUCGAGGAAGGACAUCACCCACAGAAGAAGCACCGGCUAACUCCGUGCCAGCAGCCGCGGUAAUACGGAGGGUGCGAGCGUUAAUCGGAAUUACUGGGCGUAAAGCGCGCGUAGGCGGUCUGAUAAGCCGGUUGUGAAAGCCCCGGGCUCAACCUGGGAACGGCAUCCGGAACUGUCAGGCUAGAGUGCAGGAGAGGAAGGUAGAAUUCCCGGUGUAGCGGUGAAAUGCGUAGAGAUCGGGAGGAAUACCAGUGGCGAAGGCGGCCUUCUGGACUGACACUGACGCUGAGGUGCGAAAGCGUGGGUAGCAAACAGGAUUAGAUCCCUAGUAGU